CAGAGGUCCCAAGCGUUGUUCGGAUUUACUGGGCGUAAAGGGUGCGUAGGUGGUUGGGUAAGUCUCAUGUGAAAUCUCCAAGCUCAACUUGGAAAUGGCAUGGGAUACUAUUCGGCUAGAGGAUUGGAGGGGGGACUGGAAUUCCCGGUGUAGCAGUGAAAUGCGUAGAUAUCGGGAGGAACACCAGUGGCGAAGGCGAGUCCCUGGACAAUUCCUGACGCUGAGGCACGAAAGCUAGGGGAGCAAACAGGAUUAGAUACCCUGGUAGUCCUAGCUGUAAACGGUGCUCACUUGCUGUAGACGGAAUCGACCCCGUCUGUGGCGAAGCUAACGCGUUAAGUGAGCCGCCUGGGGAGUACGGUCGCAAGAUUA
This 372-nucleotide ribosomal RNA is filed under the name uncultured organism. Its description in RNAcentral is "bacterial SSU rRNA". It matches the Rfam family "Bacterial small subunit ribosomal RNA", at positions 526 to 896 of the family's 1533-position model. The record is from RNAcentral.